Molecule: ribosomal RNA, 427 nt
Filed under: uncultured Aquicella sp.
Lineage: Bacteria; Pseudomonadati; Pseudomonadota; Gammaproteobacteria; Legionellales; Coxiellaceae
Description: bacterial SSU rRNA
Rfam family: Bacterial small subunit ribosomal RNA
Source: RNAcentral
UGGGGAAUAUUGGACAAUGGGGGAAACCCUGAUCCAGCGAUGCCGCGUGAGUGAAGAAGGCCCUCGGGUCGUAAAGCUCUUUAGGUUGGGAAGAAGGGUGCAAGUUGAAUACACUUGUGCUUUGACGGUACCAACAGAAUAAGCACCGGCAAAUUCUGUGCCAGCAGCCGCGGUAAUACAGAAGGUGCGAGCGUUAAUCGGAUUUACUGGGCGUAAAGGGCACGUAGGCGGUAGGAUGUGUGUGAUGUGAAAGCCCCGGGCUCAACCUGGGAAGUGCAUCGCAAACUAUUUAACUAGAGUAGAUGAGAGGGUGGCGGAAUUUCCGGUGUAGCGGUGAAAUGCGUAGAGAUCGGAAGGAACGUCAAUGGCGAAGGCAGCCACCUGGCAUCAUACUGACGCUGAGGUGCGAAAGCGUGGGGAGCGAACA